This 311-nucleotide long non-coding RNA is filed under the name Musa acuminata (dwarf banana). RNAcentral describes it as "long non-coding RNA (MACU_LNC003528)". The record is from RNAcentral. Lineage: Eukaryota; Viridiplantae; Streptophyta; Magnoliopsida; Zingiberales; Musaceae.
UCGGCCAUAGCAUGGCACCCGACGUGCGGCAUGCCGUGGUCGCCAAGGAGGAGGAGUGCUGCCAGACGCAGCUGCCCCUCAAUGAAAACGACUCCCAGGACAUGGUCCUCUUUGAGGUCCUCUCCGAGGCGUCCGCUAUGGCCUCCUCCUCCUCCUCAUCCGCCGCCUCCUCCGCCGUGGAGCAACCGUCGUUGUCUUUUCCGGCUGCGGCAGGCGACGCGGGCUUCAUCUGCAACUGUGCCCGGCCGACGGGGCACUUCAGGAAGUACCGGGGGGUGCGGCGGCGGCCGUGGGGCAAGUUCGCGGCGGAG